AUUGAACGCUGGCGGCAUGCCUUACACAUGCAAGUCGAACGGCAGCACGGGUGCUUGCACCUGGUGGCGAGUGGCGAACGGGUGAGUAAUACAUCGGAACGUACCUUAUCGUGGGGGAUAACGCAGCGAAAGCUGUGCUAAUACCGCAUACGCCCUGAGGGGGAAAGCGGGGGAUCGCAAGACCUCGCGCGAUUAGAGCGGCCGAUGCCUGAUUAGCUUGUUGGUGGGGUAAAAGCCCACCAAGGCGACAAUCAGUAGUUGGUCUGAGAGGACGAUCGGCCACACUGGGACUGAGACACGGCCCAGACUCCGACGGGAGGCAGCAGUGGGGAAUUUUGGACAAUGGGGGCAACCCUGAUCCAGCAAUGCCGCGUGAGUGAAGAAGGCCUUCGGGUUGUAAAGCUCUUUUGUCAGGGAAGAAACACCGGCUCUAACACAGUCCGGGAAUGACGGUACCUGAAGAAUAAGCACCGGCUAACUACGUGCCAGCCGCCGCCGUAA
Molecule: ribosomal RNA, 501 nt
Filed under: uncultured bacterium
Lineage: Bacteria
Description: partial 16S ribosomal RNA
Rfam family: Bacterial small subunit ribosomal RNA
Source: RNAcentral